This 445-nucleotide ribosomal RNA is filed under the name uncultured bacterium. RNAcentral describes it as "partial 16S ribosomal RNA". It matches the Rfam family "Bacterial small subunit ribosomal RNA", at positions 354 to 796 of the family's 1533-position model. The record is from RNAcentral.
GUGAGGAAUAUUGGUCAAUGGGCGCAAGCCUGAACCAGCCAUGCCGCGUGCAGGAAGACGGUCCUAUGGGUUGUAAACUGCUUUUAUUUGGGAAUAAACUCCGGUACGUGUACCGGCCUGAAGGUACCAAAUGAAUAAGCACCGGCUAACUCCGUGCCAGCAGCCGCGGUAAUACGGAGGGUGCAAGCGUUAUCCGGAAUCAUUGGGUUUAAAGGGUCCGCAGGCGGUCUUAUAAGUCAGUGGUGAAAGCCUACAGCUCAACUGUAGAACUGCCAUUGAUACUGUAGGACUUGAAUUCGAUCGAAGUGGGCGGAAUGUGACAUGUAGCGGUGAAAUGCUUAGAUAUGUCACAGAACACCGAUAGCGAAGGCAGCUCACUAGGUCUGGAUUGACGCUCAGGGACGAAAGCGUGGGGAGCAAACAGGAUUAGAAACCCGUGUAGUCC